GGAGGCAUAGCCCAGUUGGUUAGAGCGCAUGCUUGACAUGCAUGAGGUCACAGGUUCAAGUCCUGUUGUCUCCACCA
Molecule: transfer RNA, 77 nt
Filed under: Candidatus Ornithoclostridium faecavium
Lineage: Bacteria; Bacillati; Bacillota; Clostridia; Christensenellales; Christensenellaceae
Description: tRNA-Val
Rfam family: tRNA
About the family: Transfer RNA (tRNA) molecules are approximately 80 nucleotides in length.
Source: RNAcentral